UUUUUUAUUAAAAAUUUUUUAAUUAAUAGGUCCCAUCCCAAGAGGCCACAUUACCGGAGGGUGUGGGUGGACAGGAGGCACUAGACAUUUGAGGAGGGGGUGUGUCUACAUGAAGUUGAGCAUGAGAGCGUCUAUGUCUGGCGUGAGAAAUUAUACAAAUUGAUUCCGCCUUCUUUCAGGUCUCAAAUUGCUGCCAGAUCCAAGCUAAAUGGUUAGUAAAGCUGUUAUGCUAUGUUAGUGAAUUAUUCAGUGAGCUGUCUUGUGAAGACAUAGCGAGAUUGUUAGAAAUAUGUAACUCAUUUAUAUAUAGUAAUUAUCAAAAUAUACUAAAAGGAAAGAUUCCAACAGAAGAUUCCCUCCCUGAUAGUUCAUGGAGUACAUUGAAGGCAAUAUUAAGACAAAAUAUUAAUAAAUUUGGAAACAUUUACUAUAGAUUUGUAUCUAGAGAACACAUUACUACUA
This is a long non-coding RNA of Amphimedon queenslandica, 462 nucleotides long. RefSeq lists it as uncharacterized. The transcript has 4 exons. NCBI's taxonomy places the organism in Eukaryota, Metazoa, Porifera, Demospongiae, Haplosclerida, Niphatidae. The record is from RefSeq and is a predicted model, not a curated record.